Molecule: long non-coding RNA, 1191 nt
Organism: Brassica napus (rape)
Lineage: Eukaryota; Viridiplantae; Streptophyta; Magnoliopsida; Brassicales; Brassicaceae
Exons: 2
Source: RefSeq, a predicted model, not a curated record
AUAUGAAAAAUGUAAUAGACAUUUCAUUUUUCAUUCUUCAUAUUUUUAAUUCACGCAUAAUUUUUAAAUUAUAAUAACAGAAAUAUUUAAUAAUAAUUAUGUAUUUAAAUUGGCUUAUAGUUGGUUUUAAAAGAAAACACUGUUGGGCUUUGGUUUGGUUAGGAUUUGUUUUUUGUCAGAUAAAAUGAGCGAUAAUUGCCCAAAGAGAGCAACAAAUCUGUUAUGUCAAAAUCUAUGUUUUUGUGGCCGUUUGGUUUUAAAAAAAAAAACAGAAAAGGGAAAGUAAAAAAAAAAAAAUUCUCGAUCCAAUUUUUCUUUGAGGAAUCGACGACACGCUAGAACUGAAAUAGAGAAUCGAUGAGAGAAUCAGUGGGUAGAUCUAUCGAUCUUGAUGGAUAGGGCGUUGGUGAAGAUUGAAACUGUUGCUUGAUUCACAGAUGAAGAAGAUGAAUGGGUGAUUUGCUUGGUCACAUAAGAUUUCCGAGCAAAAACAACUUCCAACUUUUUAGAUGGAUAAUAAACAGAGGCAAUCCUUUUAAUUGAUUAUGCAUCUUAACUUCUUUCACCUUCGUUACUUCCUUUCGCUGAUGUCCCAGAAGAAUUUCUUUGCUGUCUCUUAUGCUAAUGACUGAAUGAUAUAUGUUUAUGCUUGUACAACCUAUGUUCCUCAAUUUGGAGUCUCUUAUGAUUUAUUCUAAUUUUUUAUUUCAGGCACUAACAAAUUAGUGUAUGAAUAAUUUGAUUAAUCUGUUAUAAAGCAGAAGUUGAAUGAUAUAUGUUUAGUUUGUUGUCUUAUUAAUGUUUACGACUCAUGUGCAGGUCUUGUAGUGACAGAGAGUACUGGUAGAGCUUUAUUAAUGCGACUCCAACCUCAAUCACAAAAACCUCAAACCUGAGAAAAGAUAAGUUUUUAUUAGAUGUAACCUCAACGCAUACAAUGACUAUAGUAUAUUUAAUAUUUUGUGAAAUCUAAACGGUUAACUAAUGUUUUCUCUUAAUUUUACAGAACAGAGUCUAUAUGUUGUAUGAUGAUGAAAGACAUGAGGCAAAGUCAAACCAAACUUGCGCACAAGUAUGUAAUGACAUGUAUCCAACCAUUCUGCAAUGAUAUAAUCUGUAAAUUACUAUUAAACAUUUUUCAGAAUUUUAGAAGCUAUGAAUGGAAGUGACUAUCGGUAGUUAUGAUUGAAA